RNAcentral lists this ribosomal RNA (684 nucleotides) under Shigella flexneri. Its description in RNAcentral is "bacterial SSU rRNA". It matches the Rfam family "Bacterial small subunit ribosomal RNA", at positions 99 to 779 of the family's 1533-position model. Lineage: Bacteria; Pseudomonadati; Pseudomonadota; Gammaproteobacteria; Enterobacterales; Enterobacteriaceae. The record is from RNAcentral.
CGGACGGGUGAGUAAUGUCUGGGAAACUGCCCGAUGGAGGGGGAUAACUACUGGAAACGGUAGCUAAUACCGCAUAACGUCGCAAGACCAAAGAGGGGGACCUUCGGGCCUCUUGCUAUCGGAUGUGCCCAGAUGGGAUUAGCUAGUAGGUGGGGUAACGGCUCACCUAGGCGACGAUCCCUAGCUGGUCUGAGAGGAUGACCAGCCACACUGGAACUGAGACACGGUCCAGACUCCUACGGGAGGCAGCAGUGGGGAAUAUUGCACAAUGGGCGCAAGCCUGAUGCAGCCAUGCCGCGUGUAUGAAGAAGGCCUUCGGGUUGUAAAGUACUUUCAGCGGGGAGGAAAGGAGUAAAGUUAAUACCUUUGCUCAUUGACGUUACCCGCAGAAGAAGCACCGGCUAACUCCGUGCCAGCAGCCGCGGUAAUACGGAGGGUGCAAGCGUUAAUCGGAAUUACUGGGCGUAAAGCGCACGCAGGCGGUUUGUUAAGUCAGAUGUGAAAUCCCCGGGCUCAACCUGGGAACUGCAUCUGAUACUGGCAAGCUUGAGUCUCGUAGAGGGGGGUAGAAUUCCAGGUGUAGCGGUGAAAUGCGUAGAGAUCUGGAGGAAUACCGGUGGCGAAGGCGGCCCCCUGGACGAAGACUGACGCUCAGGUGCGAAAGCGUGGGGAGCAAACAGGAUU